This 76-nucleotide transfer RNA is filed under the name Streptomyces sp. PVA_94-07. Lineage: Bacteria; Bacillati; Actinomycetota; Actinomycetes; Kitasatosporales; Streptomycetaceae. The record is from RNAcentral.
CAGAUCAUCAUGGCCGCCAUGAUCGCCCCGCGUGAGCGCGGCCGGUACAGCGGCUACCUCGGCGCCACCUUCGCCG